UGAAAGUGUAAUUGUAAAGUGAAGCAUCUCUCUGAUUCUUUCCAAGAUAGGUUUAAAAACUAUGAAUCCAUUUGCAGUAUUUUCUUCUCUGUUUGAAACAGUUUGAGGAUGUGUUUCUUUUUCUUGGCUUGAUGUUUGAUAGGUCCUUGAGUGGGCAAGAGGGCACAUCAAGUACGGCGUCCUCCACAUUCACGGCCUCUACACAGACCCCUGCGGGAUGGUGCUCGACCCAUCGGGGUAUAAAGACGUCACUCAAGACGCAGAAGUCAUGGAAGUCCUCCAGAACUUAUACCGCACCAAGUCCUUUCUGUUUGUGGGCUGUGGAGAGACCCUUCGUGAUCAGAUAUUCCAGGCCCUCUUUCUUUACUCAGUGCCGAAUAAGGUGGAUUUGGAGCACUACAUGCUUGUGCUGAAGGAGAAUGAAGACCAUUUCUUUAAGCAUCAGGCAGAUAUGCUUCUGCACGGAAUCAAAGUUGUAUCUUAUGGGGACUGUUUUGACCAUUUUCCAGGAUAUGUGCAAGACCUUGCCACUCAGAUCUGCAAACAGCAAAGCCCAGAUGCUGAUCGCGUGGACAGCACCACAUUAUUGGGUCAUGCGUGCCAGGACUGUGCAAAGAGGAAGUUAGAAGAGAAUGGAAUUGAAGUUUCAAAAAAACUCAGACAGUCAGAUGCU
Molecule: small RNA, 673 nt
Filed under: Pongo abelii (Sumatran orangutan)
Lineage: Eukaryota; Metazoa; Chordata; Mammalia; Primates; Hominidae
Description: retained intron
Source: RNAcentral